GUCCAAGGUGAUUCCCUCUCCAAAGGGCAACUUGGAAGAAAGCCAGGCAUGCCCAAGGUCUCUGGUGAACAAGAAAUACUGGUUUCCUUUGUCUUCCUUUGACUGCCUACAUGU
Arvicanthis niloticus (Nile rat) is the source of this 114-nucleotide small nucleolar RNA. RefSeq annotates it as small nucleolar RNA SNORA67. NCBI's taxonomy places the organism in Eukaryota, Metazoa, Chordata, Mammalia, Rodentia, Muridae. The record is from RefSeq and is a predicted model, not a curated record.